RNAcentral lists this ribosomal RNA (253 nucleotides) under uncultured bacterium. RNAcentral describes it as "partial 16S ribosomal RNA". It matches the Rfam family "Bacterial small subunit ribosomal RNA", at positions 524 to 776 of the family's 1533-position model. The record is from RNAcentral.
UACGUAGGGUGCAAGCGUUGUCCGGAAUUAUUGGGCGUAAAGAGCUCGUAGGCGGUUUGUCGCGUCUGCUGUGAAAACUCGGGGCUUAACCCCGGGCCUGCAGUGGGUACGGGCAGACUAGAGUGCGGUAGGGGAGACUGGAAUUCCUGGUGUAGCGGUGGAAUGCGCAGAUAUCAGGAGGAACACCGAUGGCGAAGGCAGAUCUCUGGGCCGUAACUGACGCUGAGGAGCGAAAGCGUGGGGAGCGAACGGG